CUUUUCACUUAGUAGUAGAGUAAUACCCCGGUAAGACGGAAGUCAUAGGUUCGAAUCCGAUAAAG
Molecule: transfer RNA, 65 nt
Filed under: Merxmuellera tsaratananensis
Lineage: Eukaryota; Viridiplantae; Streptophyta; Magnoliopsida; Poales; Poaceae
Description: tRNA-Thr
Source: RNAcentral